Molecule: unclassified non-coding RNA, 692 nt
Filed under: Athalia rosae (coleseed sawfly)
Lineage: Eukaryota; Metazoa; Arthropoda; Insecta; Hymenoptera; Athaliidae
Description: misc RNA ENSAEAG00005005903.1
Source: RNAcentral
UCCAGAUCAUGUGCUACCGGAUCAAAUGGCCUGCGCAACGCCAAGGCGUUAGGAUUUCCUCCAAGUUCCAGCUGGGCAACGGACAGUGCGUCCUGAGUAACCGGCGUGCCCUGUAGUUCCGCCAUUUUGAAUAAAACUGGCCGAAUAUCGCACGGAGGGAGGCAGAAUAACGUGAUCUAAUCGUAAUGGGAAUUCUUCAACGUUAUGAAAAAUAACAAACUCGCUCCUAAUGAAAUAUCUGCCAGUUUGACGAAGACGCCGUUUUCUAUUAUAUACGUACACAAAUACACGUCUGAAGGAUGUCUGUAGACUACAGUCUACGGUGUGUGCGAACAAUGAUGAUCGACUUUGGAAUGUUACCCGAAAGAAAGGAAUGUUUCCCGCGCAAAACUUGCUUCGAACAUUCUAUAAUCCCCUCAACCAGAGUUCCCCGUCCACCGAAUUAUCAGACUACAAACUUUCGGUUCUACAUUUUUCACCUUGGGACGUCUGCCGAUUCAAGCAUCGAACGCAUCUGUUAGGAAGAAAUUAGAGUUUGGAGAAUUAAAAUCUUGAUCGCAUGUGGAAAGUAUAGAAUAUGGAGUACCUACUUCCAGAACAUUCUGCCUCCUACGCCGCCGCCCUUGCUGCUCAAGCGCCAUCGGGCCGCAAGUAAAAUUUACGUUUUACUCUGUGCAGCCACGAAAAAAUAG